CCUACGGGUGACAGCAGUGAGGAAUAUUGGUCAAUGGACGAGAGUCUGAACCAGCCAAGUAGCGUGAAGGAUGACUGCCCUAUGGGUUGUAAACUUCUUUUAUAUGGGAAUAAAACAGGGUAUGCAUACCCACUUGUAUGUACCAUAUGAAUAAGGAUCGGCUAACUCCGUUCCAGCAGCCGCGGUAAGACGGAGGAUCCGAGCGUUAUCCGGAUUUCUUGGGUUUAAAGGUAGCGUAGAUGGGUUGUUAAGUCAGUUGUGAAAGUUUGCGGCUCAACCUUAAAAUUGCAAUUGAUACUGGCAGCUUUGAGUACAGUUGAGGUAGGCGGAAUUCGUGGUGUAGCGGUGAAAUGCUUAGAUAUCACGAAGAACUCCGAUUGCGAAGGCAGCUUACUAAACUGCCACUGACAUUGAUGCUCGAAAGUGUGGGUAUCAAACAGGAUUAGAUACCCCAGUAGUC
Molecule: ribosomal RNA, 460 nt
Filed under: uncultured bacterium
Lineage: Bacteria
Description: partial 16S ribosomal RNA
Rfam family: Bacterial small subunit ribosomal RNA
Source: RNAcentral